GAUGAACGCUGGCGGCGUGCCUAAUACAUGCAAGUCGAGCGAACAGACGAGGAGCUUGCUCCUCUGACGUUAGCGGCGGACGGGUGAGUAACACGUGGAUAACCUACCUAUAAGACUGGGAUAACUUCGGGAAACCGGAGCUAAUACCGGAUAAUAUAUUGAACCGCAUGGUUCAAUAGUGAAAGACGGCUUUGCUGUCACUUAUCGAUGGAUCCGCGCCGCCUUAGCUAGUUGGUAAGGUAACGGCUUACCAAGGCAACGAUGCGUAGCCGACCGCAGAGGGUGAUCGGCCACACUGGAACUUAGACACGGUCCAGACUCCUACGGGAGGGAGCAGUAGGGAAUCUUCCGCAAUGGGCGAAAGCCUGACGGAGCAACGCCGCGUGAGUGAUGAAGGUCUUCUGAUCGUAAAACUCUGUUAUUAGGGAAGAACAAAUGUGUAAGUAACUAUGCACUUCUUGACGGUAACUAAUCAGAAAGCCACGGCUAACUACGUG
RNAcentral lists this ribosomal RNA (497 nucleotides) under uncultured bacterium. RNAcentral describes it as "partial 16S ribosomal RNA". It matches the Rfam family "Bacterial small subunit ribosomal RNA", at positions 28 to 507 of the family's 1533-position model. The record is from RNAcentral.